RNAcentral lists this ribosomal RNA (253 nucleotides) under Eubacterium coprostanoligenes. Its description in RNAcentral is "partial 16S ribosomal RNA". It matches the Rfam family "Bacterial small subunit ribosomal RNA", at positions 524 to 776 of the family's 1533-position model. RNAcentral also lists the same sequence under 1 other name. Lineage: Bacteria; Bacillati; Bacillota; Clostridia; Eubacteriales; Eubacteriaceae. The record is from RNAcentral.
UACGUAGGUGGCAAGCGUUGUCCGGAAUUACUGGGUGUAAAGGGAGCGUAGGCGGGAAGCCAAGUCAGCUGUGAAAACUACGGGCUUAACCUGUAGACUGCAGUUGAAACUGGCUUUCUUGAGUGAAGUAGAGGUUGGCGGAAUUCCGAGUGUAGCGGUGAAAUGCGUAGAUAUUCGGAGGAACACCGGUGGCGAAGGCGGCCAACUGGGCUUUAACUGACGCUGAGGCUCGAAAGUGUGGGGAGCAAACAGG